CCCGGCACGUGAAGCCCUGGCCUAUGGCGUGGCCUUCCUAGUUCUGGGUUUAGUGAAGACCUCAAACAUUAAUGUUGGAAGGAUCAUUCAGAACCAUCAGCGUUUCUUAAGGCGACUCUGUGGCCUUUGAAGCAAGACUUUUACCGGUUUGCAGGACUGCCUCAGGAUCCUGGAGGAUGCCAGCUCCUAAGUAAGCCCAGUCCUGUUUCCUGCCGCCUGCCCUGCACUCUCUGGAUCAUGGGGACACCUGCACGCCUACAGCUCACACCUGCACAGUCCGGAGCUCAGGAAAAGGCUUCUCUUGCUAAAGCAUCUCAGAGGAGGAAGGUAGCCAGGACUCAACAGCAGUGCUUUAAGACACACCUCCAGGUGGCAGGACCUCCUGUGCACCAAGCCCCAGGACAGCCUCUGCGUGACCUGCCUCAGUCGGCACUCACGUUAGCCUGUCAGGUUUAGCCCAUAGCCAUUUUGCUGCCGAAGAUAUUUUCCUAAGAGGACAGUUGGAGCAUAUUACCAUUCUUCAAACUCUUCAUUUUCCCCCUUGCUUCCUGGAUGGACUCUCAUCUCCCCUGCAGGGUGUGAAGGCCUCUACCAUCUACUGUUCUGUCUCCUGCCUGGCCUCUCCUCAUUUAUACACCGCUUCACAGUUCUGCCAUCCUCAGCUGUACCCUCAUCAAAUCAGUCUGAUGAAUUCCUACCUCGUCCCCCAAUUCUCCACAGAAGUGACAGGUACUGUCACUCCUUUCUCUGUGCGCUCAAUUUUCUCCUCCCACAAGGCUCACUUUUGCUAAAUUUGCCCAUCAGUGACACCUCCCAUUGGGCUUCCGUGGUGGUGCAGUGGUGAAGAAUCCACCUGCCAAUGCAGGAGAGUAAUACCUUGCCAUUUGCA
Molecule: non-coding RNA, 889 nt
Organism: Odocoileus virginianus texanus
Lineage: Eukaryota; Metazoa; Chordata; Mammalia; Artiodactyla; Cervidae
Source: RefSeq, a predicted model, not a curated record